Carica papaya (papaya) is the source of this 2042-nucleotide non-coding RNA. Lineage: Eukaryota; Viridiplantae; Streptophyta; Magnoliopsida; Brassicales; Caricaceae. The record is from RefSeq and is a predicted model, not a curated record.
UUAUAUGCAAAAAAAUUGUUAGAAUUCCCUUGGCGGCCAUGGUCGCUUUGCUCAAUCUUCAAAGAGCGCGGGAUUGCAGACUCCAGAGAGAAGCAUCCAUUUUAACUAAUUUGGGAAGCAAAUCGAAGCGGGAGAGUAAUUUGAAAGAAAAAUGCCUGUCAAGGAGCUCUGCAGAAACUUUCAGCGCGGCAGCUGUCAGUAUGGUGCAAGGUGUAAAUUUCUUCAUGUGACUCCGCAACAGCCGAAGGCUAAUGGCUCUGGUUUUGGCAUGCAAAGUAGCUUACCUCAACAGCAAAAGCCUAAUCCAUUUGGAUUUGGCACGCAAAGUAGCUCGCCUCAACAGCAAAAGCCUAAUCCAUUUGGAUUUGGCUCGCAAAGUAGCUCACCUCAGCUGCAAAAGCCUAAUCCUUUUGGAUUUGGUGUUCAAAGCAACUCUCAGUCAAAAGGACCUAAUAACUUUGGGAACAAACCAAACCAGUUCAAGCCUUUUGAAAACAAAUGGAGCCGUUUCUCUCCAAUACCAGGUGGUGGUGGCCCCCAUCCACGUCAGGCUGAUGGUCAGCCGCAGCCACAGUCGGCAAAUCAUAAUUGUAUGGACCCUGAAACUUGCAAACGUCUAAUUGCCGAAGAUUUUGAGAAUGAGAGACCACUUUGGAAGCUUACGUGCUACAGUCACUGGAAAAGUGCUCCUUGUGACAUUGUUGGUGAUAUUAGCUACGAAGAGUUGCGGGCAGCAGCAUAUGAUGAUGGUAAACGUGGUCUGAGCUUGCAGUCAAUUGUAAGGGAAUCUGAGAUACAAUAUUUUCAAAUUGUUCAUGUGUGUGCAUCAGUUGUCCAUACAUGUGUUGCCAAAUUUCUGAUUGAGAGAGAGAGGAGUUUGCUCAGUUCCAAAUUAGUUGACUUUGAUAAUCUUCUUCGUAAUCCCUACCGAGGACCUGCAAGCUCUGUCGUCCCAAGCCCAAGUGCAAUUCCAGAGAAUACUUCUAAUGUAUUCUCUCCAGCUUCUCAGAAUAGUUUCCCUUCUUCAGUCUCCAGUUUCGGCCAAUCAGGUGUAUCACCUAAUACUGGCUUCGGAAUAAGGCCCACUGCACCUGCAAAUAGUUUCCCCAUGCAACCUGUUUCCUUCCAGAAUUUUGGCCAGGCUCAUGGUGCCUUUGGGAUUAACAAUUUGCCAUCUGGACAUGCUGUUCCUACCCAGACAUUUGGAAGUUCCAUUAUGCCCAACAUGCCAGGCAUCACCAACAAUGGCACAAUAAGUGCUCAAAGUAACCAGUUCUCUGCUUCAGCAGAGUCGAUGCAAAAUCCAAAGUCAUCUAGUGAUCAGCUAUCUUUUGGGUCCAGCAUGUCUAGUUUGUCUUCCAAUAUUGCAGUUGGCCAGGCAACUAGAGAUGUUCAAUCACUGCUCCCAAACAUUUAUUGCUGUUGUUGAAAUCCUACUAUAGGGGGGGACAGUUGAAUCAUAUGCUGUCCCAACCUCCAACUCCAUCUCGUAUCAUGUCCUGUGUUUCAACUUCUCUCAGAUGCUCCAUUCUCAGAUGUUGGAGCAUCUUAUUAUAAUAAAUGAUGACGAAAGAUUUUCUAACUGAUUGGCCAAUGUAAACAAAAUGCUGCACGAUUCCAGAAGAAGCCCCUCCAGAUGCAUUUGUCUAGUGUGGGAUACCUUGUAGAUUCAUGUCAAAACAUCACCGCAGUUAACAAUCAGAUCGCUAAUUGGUUAUCAUUCAUUUGGCAUGCACUAGAACUGCGUCUUUAUGCAGUGCCUGGCUUAUGGGAAUGUGUAGGUUUCUUUAUCGCACUCAUAGCAUUUGAUAUGUGCUUAUAAAGAUGCUGCAGACUGCAGUAUCUACCGUAAGCCGGGUGCGUUUUAUGCCGCCGGCUGGAUGAUCGAAAUAUAGAUUUUUACCCAGGUAAAAUUAUAUUGCUCGCCGGCAAUUGGCGCAGGAGCUUUAUAGACUUCCAUAUGCAUAAAGUUAUAUAUACACAUACAAGAUUAUGUUUUACUUUCUAUAGGUGCUUUACACAACUGGUUUUAGUUUUCUUUC